AGCAGGGAGCCUGGAAGGGGGACCGAAUGAAGACCCAGCCCUGUGCCCUGUGGGGACAUCAGUCAGCCUCUGUAGGCCCGCUGAACCGUGAGUCAUGGGUGCACAGCCCUCGCCAAGAACAAGUUAUGGGAUCGUCUCUGCAAGCUCUGAGCCCUUCCCAGCCCGCACUCCCACCACGAGUUCAGCGACGGAGCAGCGCAGAAGAGAAACCCUCCACUUCUCCCUUCUCUGGUUUCCCCAGAGUUCUGCUACUUACCUGGAGAGCCUGGUGGCUUGUGCUGGCUGCUACACCUCUGAACCUGCACAGUCCCAACCCCAGUAAGGGAAGCGUCUCAGGCAGGGCUUGAGUGGCCGGUCACUGCCCAUUCUGCCCAGCUCCUCUCUGGUUCUCAGCUCGGAUCUCUGCCCCGUUCCAUUCUCCCAACUCAGCAAA
RNAcentral lists this long non-coding RNA (433 nucleotides) under Rattus norvegicus (Norway rat). RNAcentral's name for it is "long non-coding RNA NONRATT032817". The record is from RNAcentral. Lineage: Eukaryota; Metazoa; Chordata; Mammalia; Rodentia; Muridae.